UUGAAUUGAAGAGUUUGAUCAUGGCUCAGAUUGAACGCUGGCGGCAGGCUUAACACAUGCAAGUCGAACGGUAGCAGGAGAAAGCUUGCUUUCUUGCUGACGAGUGGCGGACGGGUGAGUAAUGCUUGGGAAUCUGGCUUAUGGAGGGGGAUAACUACGGGAAACUGUAGCUAAUACCGCGUAGUGUCGAGAGACGAAAGUGCGGGACCGCAAGGCCGCAUGCCAUGAGAUGAGCCCAAGUGGGAUUAGGUAGUUGGUGGGGUAAAGGCCUACCAAGCCUGCGAUCUCUAGCUGGUCUGAGAGGAUGACCAGCCACACUGGAACUGAGACACGGUCCAGACUCCUACGGGAGGCAGCAGUGGGGAAUAUUGCGCAAUGGGGGGAACCCUGACGCAGCCAUGCCGCGUGAAUGAAGAAGGCCUUCGGGUUGUAAAGUUCUUUCGGUAUUGAGGAAGGAGUGUAUGUUAAUAGCAUGCAUUAUUGACGUUAAAUACAGAAGAAGCACCGGCUAACUCCGUGCCAGCAGCCGCGGUAAUACGGAG
This 542-nucleotide ribosomal RNA is filed under the name Haemophilus haemolyticus. RNAcentral describes it as "bacterial SSU rRNA". It matches the Rfam family "Bacterial small subunit ribosomal RNA", at positions 1 to 530 of the family's 1533-position model. Lineage: Bacteria; Pseudomonadati; Pseudomonadota; Gammaproteobacteria; Pasteurellales; Pasteurellaceae. The record is from RNAcentral.